UACGUAGGGUGCAAGCGUUAAUCGGAAUUACUGGGCGUAAAGCGUGCGCAGGCGGUUUUGUAAGUCUGUCGUGAAAUCCCCGGGCUCAACCUGGGAAUUGCGAUGGAGACUGCAAGGCUAGAAUCUGGCAGAGGGGGGUAGAAUUCCACGUGUAGCAGUGGAAUGCGUAGAGAUGUGGAGGAACACCGAUGGCGAAGGCAGCCCCCUGGGUCAAGAUUGACGCUCAUGCACGAAAGCGUGGGGAGCAAACAGG
RNAcentral lists this ribosomal RNA (253 nucleotides) under uncultured bacterium. RNAcentral's name for it is "partial 16S ribosomal RNA". It matches the Rfam family "Bacterial small subunit ribosomal RNA", at positions 524 to 776 of the family's 1533-position model. The record is from RNAcentral.